GCGUUACUCGGAAUUACUGGGCGUAAAGCGUGCGUAGGCGGUUGGUUAAGUCUGAUGUGAAAUCCCCGGGCUCAACCUGGGAAUGGCAUUGGAAACUGGCGAGCUAGAGUACGGUAGAGGGUGGUGGAAUUCCCGGUGUAGCAGUGAAAUGCGUAGAGAUCGGGAGGAACAUCUGUGGCGAAGGCGGCCACCUGGACCAGUACUGACGCUGAGGCACGAAAGCGUG
This 226-nucleotide ribosomal RNA is filed under the name uncultured bacterium. RNAcentral describes it as "partial 16S ribosomal RNA". It matches the Rfam family "Bacterial small subunit ribosomal RNA", at positions 538 to 763 of the family's 1533-position model. The record is from RNAcentral.